RNAcentral lists this ribosomal RNA (255 nucleotides) under uncultured bacterium. Its description in RNAcentral is "partial 16S ribosomal RNA". It matches the Rfam family "Bacterial small subunit ribosomal RNA", at positions 1238 to 1500 of the family's 1533-position model. The record is from RNAcentral.
UACAGAAGGCAGCUACACGGCGACGUGAUGCUAAUCCCCAAAACCUCUCUCAGUUCGGAUUGGAGUCUGCAACCCGACUCCAUGAAGCUGGAUUCGCUAGUAAUCGCGCAUCAGCCACGGCGCGGUGAAUACGGUUCCCGGGCCUUGUACACACCGCCCGUCAAGCCAUGAAAGCCGGGGGUACCUGAAGUCCGUAACCGUAAGGAGCGGCCUAGGGUAAAACUGGUAAUUGGGGCUAAGUCGUAACAAGGUAUC